CAACUUCCCUCCCUGGGGCACACACUCCCUCUCAAGCUUUGAGACGUGGGGGAGAAGUGGGACACGGGAUUGAGGAAAGGGGACCGCCCUCCCUUUCCCCAACAACCCAGUGAAUGGCCCUCUCCUGGGUCCUCAGAGCCUUAUUGAGAGAACUGGAAAAUCCAGUUGCCCAGCCCCCCUCCCAUCACCCCACGGGCACCAUUGCUGGGACUGAGUAGGGAGCAGGAAGGCAGGCCCGGUGAGGAGAGGCCAGCGGGCCUUCAGACAUCUCUUCCACCAUCUGAGAAGUGAGGGGAUAGAGCCGCGAUGGGGACUGAGCUGCCCCUCGUCCUCCUCCUGACCCUUGUCGGCAGCUCACAGGGGGCAGGGCCGGGAAUGACUUUGCAACUGAAGUUGAAGAACUCCCUUCUGGCAAAUUCCUCCUACAAUUCCAGCUUCCUGGACUUUCUCCAGAAGUUCUGCCUCCUCCUCCACCUCCCCGUGGGGACCAACGUCACCCUGCAUCAAGCAGGGUCCUCACAGCACGUCACCUGCAGAGUCUGAGAGCAGCCGAAGCCUGUGCCCUUCUUGGCUGGGGCCUCCGGUCCCCGGGGAGCAGGCGCCAUGCCCUGACCCUGUCUUCCAGCAGGACCUCACCCUGUUAAGUGGCAGCAAGAGGCUUUCCCAUGUCAACACCUGCAGCAGGUUCCCAUAUAGCAUAAUAGAUCUCAUUAUCCCAUUUUACUGAUGAGGAAAUCGAGGCUUAAAAGAUGGCAGGUACUCAUCUUACUCCACACUCAAGAUGCUCUUGACUUCUUACUGGCUGACUCUAAAUGCAAGCAUGCAGCCCAGACUUGACCAUGAAGGGCUAUUGGUGUGAUUGCUUCCUGCUCUCCACAGUUCCUGUCCUACCAACCUGCUCCAACCCCCGCACAGCACCACCACCACAUGAAACUAGAGACUGGCUCCUUUGGAGCAAGGGAAAGGUAACAUUCCAAAUGGAGUAUCCCUGAAGAUAAGAAGGCAUGACAAAAUGAAAUUUCUUUCGUUUCCUUGACAACUGUCCUGGGACUAUUACCCCUGGAAGAGGAGAGGUAGCUGGGGGCUCUGUAGGACCCCAGUAUUUCAUGACUGACCUCUAGGCUGCACCAGUGGGCAGGUGGGUCAGGUGAAUAGACCCCAAACAAGUUGAGGGAUUGAAUGUCUGGAUCUCCAAAAGGAUGGAGGAGCAGACAGUGCACUGUUUUUGUUGCUUAAUUUUGAUUUAUUUUACGUGUAUUUUUCUGACUGUC
Non-coding RNA from Odocoileus virginianus texanus, 1271 nucleotides. The record is from RefSeq and is a predicted model, not a curated record. Lineage: Eukaryota; Metazoa; Chordata; Mammalia; Artiodactyla; Cervidae.